Molecule: long non-coding RNA, 1195 nt
Organism: Carassius carassius (crucian carp)
Lineage: Eukaryota; Metazoa; Chordata; Actinopteri; Cypriniformes; Cyprinidae
Exons: 2
Source: RefSeq, a predicted model, not a curated record
UUUAUUUUUUCUGAAGAUUUUUGACUAAUGUGUGUGUGUGUGUGUGGGGGUCUUUGUGUGGAUAAAUUAUGUUCAUACUUUAAAGGUGGACAUUUGCAACAGCGCUUGUCCCUAAAAUUGCUCCAGGGGUAUGGUCAGAGACUGUCCUAAAUGACAAAUGAUGGAAUGUAAAUGACAUUAAAUUCUGUGGACGUCUUACAUAAAUGUGCAUUGUACUUUAGUUAAUGUUAACUUGUCAACAGUGAAUUAUUUUAGGAUGUCAUUGGACUGAAUGUUUAGUGACUAAUGGCACUUCAUUCCAGUAAAAAUAUAAUCCAUAGCCUUGGAGUGAAAGCAGCUGCAAAGUGUUCCAAUGCUGAUAAAAAUCAAGCAGGUUAAAACCUCAGGUUCCUUAAAUAUCUGUUCUAUAGGAUAGUUAGGGGUUUUGAAUGGUUUUGAAGUCUGGUGCUCACCAGGCCUUCAUUUAUUUGUUCAGAAAUGCAGUAGAAACAGUCAUAUUGUAAAUUGUAAUAAUAUUUUACAAUAACUCUUUUCUAUUUGAGGCAGCAGCGGAUCUACCCCAAUCAUCAUAAACGGGACCCCAGUGGAGAGAGUGAGCAGCUUCAAAUACCUUCAGAUCCCCUGUAAAGAGUAGCUGAGCACAUCUCCAGAACAUCUCUCCUUUCUCUACAAGACAUCCACACCAGAAGAUGUAAAUCUAGGGCUGUUAAGAUCCUUAAAGACCGGUGAGUCAGGCAGACACUUCUGCAGUCUGAUGGCAAAGACGGAGAGGCUCAGGAGGAGUUUCUUCCCUCAUGUUAUCAGACUACUAAACAUGGACAUUAAACACACUGAACUUUAUAGACUGGUUGUUUAGGGCUACCCAAUAACUCUCUGCACACUGCGCUUUUUUGACAGAACCUACCUAUGCAAUUCAUCCUCACUGCACAUUGUUUACAUCUCUGCACAUCAUCUUUGUAGCAGUUUCUGUGUAGCAUCUCUACAAAUCAUCUGUGUAGUUGUUUAAUAUAUUGUGUAUAUUUCAUUAUUUGUAUUUAAUUAUCUCCAAAAAUAAUAAUUUUUAUUUUUUUUCCUGUUGUUUCAUUAUUUGUAUUUAAUUUUCUCUUAUUUUUUUGUACAGUCUAAAAAGAGUAUGCCAGACCUACAUUUCACUGCUUUUUGCAUGUCAUAUAACAAAUAAAACUUGAAUUUUUAA